UGCCACAGCCAUACACCCAUACAACCUAAUACUGCUCACUGAAGCUAAGCAGGGCUGAGCCUGUUCUGUACCUUGAUGGGAGACCACGUGGGAAAAGUAGGUUGCUGUUGGAG
This 113-nucleotide ribosomal RNA is filed under the name Danio rerio (zebrafish). Lineage: Eukaryota; Metazoa; Chordata; Actinopteri; Cypriniformes; Danionidae. The record is from RNAcentral.